Molecule: ribosomal RNA, 838 nt
Filed under: uncultured bacterium
Lineage: Bacteria
Description: bacterial SSU rRNA
Rfam family: Bacterial small subunit ribosomal RNA
Source: RNAcentral
UACGAGGGAUGCAAGCGUUAUCCGGGAUUAUUGGGCGUAAAGCGUUUGUAGGCGGGCGAGUGUGUUUAAUGUUAAAUCUUAAAGCUCAACUUUGAAAUUGCGUUAAAAACUGCUUGUCUUGAGUAUGGUAGGGGUAAAGGGAAUUCCCAGUGUAGCGGCGAAAUGCGUAGAUAUUGGGAAGAACACUAAACAGCGAAGGCACUUUACUAGGCUAAUACUGACGCUGAGAAACGAAAGGUAAGGUAGCGAAACGGAUUAGAUACCCGUGUAGUCUUACCCGUAAACUAUGGACACUAAACGGUAAAUUUUUAAUUUACUGUUAAAGCUAACGCGUUAAGUGUCCCGCCUGGGGAGUAUGCUUGCAAAAGUGAAACUCAAAGGAAUUGACGGGGGCCCGCACAAGCGGUGGAGCAUGUGGUUUAAUUCGACGGUACACGAAGAACCUUACCAGGAUUUGACAUGCUAGAUAGUUGCUUGAAAGAGUAACGUGCCGUAAGGAAUCUAGACACAGGUGGUGCAUGGCUGUCGUCAGUUCGUGUUGUGAAAUGUUGGGUUAAGUCCCGCAACGGACGCAACCCUUGUCUUUAGUUAUUUUCUAAAGAGACUGCCUGUAAUAAACAGGAGGAAGGUAAGGAUGAGGUCAAGUCAUCAUGCCCCUUAUGUCCUGGGCUACACACGUGCUACAAUGGGAAAGACAAUGAGCUGCAAAUCUGUAAAUUUAAGCAAAUCUCUUAAACUUUCUCGUAGUUCGGAUUGUGGGCUGCAACUCGCCCACAUGAAGUUGGAAUCGCUAGUAAUCGCCAGUCAGCUAUAUGGCGGUGAAUCCGUUCCCGGGCCU